RNAcentral lists this unclassified non-coding RNA (305 nucleotides) under Hevea brasiliensis (rubber tree). Lineage: Eukaryota; Viridiplantae; Streptophyta; Magnoliopsida; Malpighiales; Euphorbiaceae. The record is from RNAcentral.
CUCUCUCUCUCUCUCUGAUUUUCUAAAUUCAAUCUUCAAUCCAAUAUUUAUAUAGCACCCAAAUAAAGCAAGAAUCCUUCAAAAGCCAGACGGAUCAAAAGAAAAUUACAAUAAACUCGCUUCUCAUCACUUUCCCUGCCAUUUUCCUUGCUCGCUUGAAUCACCUCCCUGUCCCAGCCUCUUUUGAGGCUGGGUCUCCGCCGUGCUCUUCCCCCUACCACCACCGUUGCCCCAUCAUUAAUUUUCUUAGAAGAGAAGGGUUUGUUUCUUGUGCUUGCCCUUAAAUCUUGAUUGAUUGAAUUGGG